GAACAGACUUGAUGUGUGCCAAAUGUGGGUUCUGCCUUUAAAGAAAGAAAAAGUGCUUCUUCCCAUCUUCUUUCCAUCUUCCUGCUGUCUGGGAUUCAGAUUAGCCCUGAGCUAACAUCUGCCAAUCCUCCUCUUUUUGCUGAGGAAGGCUGGCCCUGAGCUAACAUCCGUGCCCAUCUUCCUCUACUUUAUAUGUGGGACGCCUGCCACAGCAUGGCUUGCCAAGCGGUGCCAUGUCCACACCCGAGAUCCGAACCAGCGAACCCCGGGCCACCAAAGCGGAACGUGCGCACUUAACCACUGCGCCACCGGACUGGCCCCCACUGGACUCAAUGUAAUCACAAGAGUCCUUACAACAGGGAGGCAUGGGUCAGAUAUAUAGCAAGAAAGCAGCGUGACAAGAGAAGCAGAGGGAAGCAGAGUCAGAGAGAAAAGAUGGUACGUCACCAGCUUUGAAGAUGGAGGAAGCGACCACAAGCCAAGGAAUGCAAGCAGCCUCUAGAAGCCAGAAAAGGCAAAGAAAGAGAUCCUCCAGAGAGCCUCAAGAAGGAACACAGGAUGUUUGCAUAAUCUCAAAGCAUCUCUCUACAAGAUCCUCAUUAAUUACAAAGGAGAAAGUAUUAGUUCCAUAGUUUACAGUGGAGACACCACCUUUAUCAAGUGACAUCACCAGGAAUGACACCUUGACUUCAUGCUCAUCCCAAUACCUUGCACUCAGAAGGACACCACAUCACUGCUAUAGGAUUCGUGCAAAAAUGCAUGCUCUGAAUUUGAUCAUGGGGAAACAUCCGAUAAAGCUAAAUUUGAGACAGUCCACUAAAUAACCAGCCUGUACUCUUCAAAAGUGCCACAGCCAUGAAAGACAGAGGAAGCCCAAGGACCUGUCACCGAUGAGAAGAGCCGAAAGCAGCAUCACAACUAAAGAAACUGGACCAGAUCCUGGGCCAGGAAAAGAACCCUCUCCAGGUGGUGGCAUUAGCUAUAUUUACUGGUGAGGACACUGGGGUCAAGGAGGAGCAUCAUUUAGGAGAUACCUCCCAAACGCGAGCACCCAGAGGGCCGUCAAUAAAGAGAAGCCGGACCAGCGAAUCGGGGACCCUCCGACACUGAUUCGAUGGAGUCGAUCAGAAACCGUCAAGCGACCUGGGCCCCAGAGAUACGGAGUUCCCCAGAUCUGGCUCCUCAGCACUUUCUUCUAUUAUGUGAAGAAAAACAGAACUGGAAAGAGUAACCUUAUGGAGUAUGUUCUAAGUAACACGGAACGUUCUGGAUCCAACAUCUCGGCACACUGCUCUCCUAUGGAAGCUGCUCUGGUCCUUGUCCUGGCUUUUUCAUCACAACCCACCAUGUUCAUGGAACCCAUCAUCCUGUCAACUCCCCCAGAUGAAAACAAAGAGACAAACAAACAGAAACAAG
RNAcentral lists this long non-coding RNA (1416 nucleotides) under Equus caballus (horse). RNAcentral's name for it is "lncRNA (ENSECAG00000047160.1)". Lineage: Eukaryota; Metazoa; Chordata; Mammalia; Perissodactyla; Equidae. The record is from RNAcentral.